UUAUGUCUAAACAAAUCCCCAGUGCUGCAGGCCACUCUGGGAGGUGGUCUUCCAGUUUGUAAGACUAGGCUCUUACUUUUAGCAGAAGUCUCUAGUCAUGUAGGGUAUCACUUGUGCCUUUGUAAUGCAGAGGAGACUGUUUUUGACUUUUCUCUUCGAAGGUGUCGGGAAUGCAAGGUUUGGCUGUGGCAGGGGCUUUCAGCAUGAAGUCUUUCCUAACAGUUUCUUCUCACAGUUCUGCCUUGUGGAGAUCUCUGUAAUAAAGGAUGAAGCUCUUCAUUCAGCAAAGCCCAAUUUCCACUUCAUUCUGUAUGUUAAAUGAAAUUAUUCCAUUUUGGUGCAUGGGAGUCGGGGGCAUUCGUGCUCUGAGCCGUUUGUUUGAGCCUGUCUGCAAAUUCAGGCAGAAAGCACUGCUGGAAAUCCACUUGUCACAGCCAGAAAGUCUUCGCCUGUUGUUUCGAAGAGUAAAAGCAUCCUUCCUGGAUGACAAUGGCAGGUGAAAGGUGAACAGCGUAAGGCACUGCUGCUCUCUGAAUCUAGGCAGCUGUGGCUUUCUAAGGCAAUGGACUUGGCCAGGAUUUCUCAACACCACCUGUGUCUGCAACCCUUUGGCAUAGUUGAAAGCCUUGAGAUGUACUGAAAGCCUUAAAUCAUCCAGGUACGGACUGUUUCAGCUCUUGCCACAGGCAUCUGAUUAGGUCACUAGGUCUUCUGCUGAGGAAAACAAAUGAACAAGGGUUGGGGAUCUUUAGCGAGGGGAGAAUUUGAGACAGAAUGUACUUGUCUCUAGUGCGAUUUAUGUUCCAGUGGAUAAUGCUAAUCAAGGUACCUUGCAGGAGUGAAUUAUCC
Molecule: long non-coding RNA, 849 nt
Filed under: Crocodylus porosus (Australian saltwater crocodile)
Lineage: Eukaryota; Metazoa; Chordata; Crocodylia; Crocodylidae
Description: lncRNA (ENSCPRG00005016283.1)
Source: RNAcentral